UUGUAAACUCCUUUCGCUAUCGACGAAGCCACUUGUGGUGACGGUAGGUAGAUAAGAAGCACCGGCUAACUACGUGCCAGCAGCCGCGGUAAUACGUAGGGUGCAAGCGUUGUCCGGAAUUACUGGGCGUAAAGAGCUCGUAGGUGGUUUGUCGCGUCGUCUGUGAAAUCCCGGGGCUUAACUUCGGGCGUGCAGGCGAUACGGGCAUAACUUGAGUGCUGUAGGGGAGACUGGAAUUCCUGGUGUAGCGGUGAAAUGCGCAGAUAUCAGGAGGAACACCGAUGGCGAAGGCAGGUCUCUGGGCAGUAACUGACGCUGAGGAGCGAAAGCAUGGGUAGCGAACAGGAUUAGAUACCCUGGUAGUCCAUGCCGUAAACGGCGGGCGCUAGGUGUAGGGGGCUUCCACGUCUUCUGUGCCGUAGCUAACGCAUUAAGCGCCCCGCCUGGGGAGUACGGCCGCA
RNAcentral lists this ribosomal RNA (461 nucleotides) under Corynebacterium sp. RNAcentral's name for it is "bacterial SSU rRNA". It matches the Rfam family "Bacterial small subunit ribosomal RNA", at positions 423 to 890 of the family's 1533-position model. Lineage: Bacteria; Bacillati; Actinomycetota; Actinomycetes; Mycobacteriales; Corynebacteriaceae. The record is from RNAcentral.